UUAACACCUUAAUGUCUCUCUAACAUAUGGAAAGCGGGGGAGAGGUCCUUUACUGAACAUUAUUGUGCUAAUUGGGACACACCAUAUGGGUCAGGCUCCAGUGUCCUCUAUUCACAUUCAAAGUAUCUUGGGAUUCCAUUCAGAGCCAGGAAUCCCACUGAGCAAAAUGGCCGCUAGUCUCAGUCUAUUUUAGCCAAAAGGUUAUAG
Molecule: non-coding RNA, 207 nt
Organism: Pelobates cultripes (western spadefoot toad)
Lineage: Eukaryota; Metazoa; Chordata; Amphibia; Anura; Pelobatidae
Source: the annotation of a GenBank genome assembly